This 1477-nucleotide ribosomal RNA is filed under the name metagenome. RNAcentral's name for it is "bacterial SSU rRNA". It matches the Rfam family "Bacterial small subunit ribosomal RNA". The record is from RNAcentral.
AGAGUUUGAUCCUGGCUCAGGAUGAACGCUAGCGGGAGGCUUAACACAUGCAAGUCGAGGGGUAACGAUAUCUUCGGAUAGUCGACGACCGGCGCACGGGUGAGUAACAGGUAUGCAACCUACCCUUAACAGGAGGAUAGCCCGAAGAAAUUCGGAUUAAUACUCCAUAACAUUUGUUUAUCGCAUGAUAAACUUUUUAAAGCUCCGGCGGUUAAGGAUGGGCAUGCUUAAUAUUAGCUAGUUGGUAAGGUAACGGCUUACCAAGGCUACGAUAUUUAGGGGUUCUGAGAGGACGAUCCCCCACACUGGUACUGAGACACGGACCAGACUCCUACGGGAGGCAGCAGUGAGGAAUAUUGGUCAAUGGGCGCAAGCCUGAACCAGCCAUCCCGCGUGUUGGAUGACGGCCUUAUGGGUUGUAAACUACUUUUAUAUAGGAAGAAACUUUUCUACGUGUAGAAAACUGACUGUACUAUACGAAUAAGCAUCGGCUAACUCCGUGCCAGCAGCCGCGGUAAUACGGAGGAUGCAAGCGUUAUCCGGAUUUAUUGGGUUUAAAGGGUGUGUAGGCGGAUUAAUAAGUCAGUGGUGAAAUCCUACAGCUUAACUGUAGAACUGCCAUUGAUACUGUUAACCUUGAGUAUAGUUGAGGUAGGCGGAAUGUGUUGUGUAGCGGUGAAAUGCUUAGAUAUAACACAGAACACCGAUUGCGAAGGCAGCUUACUAAACUAUUACUGACGCUGAGGCACGAAAGCGUGGGGAGCGAACAGGAUUAGAUACCCUGGUAGUCCACGCCGUAAACUAUGAUUACUCGUUGUGCGCAAUACACCGUGCGCGACUAAGCGAAAGCAUUAAGUAAUCCACCUGGGGAGUACGAUCGCAAGAUUGAAACUCAAAGGAAUUGACGGGGGCCCGCACAAGCGGAGGAACAUGUGGUUUAAUUCGAUGAUACGCGAGGAACCUUACCUGGGCUUAAAUGUAGAACGACAGAUCGGGAAACUGAUCUUUCUUCGGACGGACUACAAGGUGCUGCAUGGUUGUCGUCAGCUCGUGCCGUGAGGUGUCGGGUUAAGUCCCAUAACGAGCGCAACCCCUAUCGUUAGUUGCUAGCAGGUAAUGCUGAGGACUCUAGCGAAACUGCCACCGUAAGGUGUGAGGAAGGUGGGGAUGACGUCAAAUCAGCACGGCCCUUAUGUCCAGGGCUACACACGUGUUACAAUGGUCGGUACAAAGGGCAGCUACCUGGUGACAGGAUGCUAAUCUCCAAAACCGAUCCUAGUUCGGAUCGCAGUCUGCAACUCGACUGCGUGAAGUUGGAUUCGCUAGUAAUCGCGCAUCAGCCACGGCGCGGUGAAUACGUUCCCGGGCCUUGUACACACCGCCCGUCAAGCCAUGGAAGUUGGGGGUACCUAAAGUCCGUAACCGUAAGGAGCGGCCUAGGGUAAGACCGAUAACUAGGGCUAAGUCGUAACAAGGU